GGGGUUAUGGCUCAGCGGUAGAGUGACCACCUCGCAUGUGUAAGGCCCUGGGUUCGAUCCUCAGUACCACA
Molecule: transfer RNA, 71 nt
Filed under: Marmota monax (woodchuck)
Lineage: Eukaryota; Metazoa; Chordata; Mammalia; Rodentia; Sciuridae
Description: tRNA.Ala
Rfam family: tRNA
About the family: Transfer RNA (tRNA) molecules are approximately 80 nucleotides in length.
Source: RNAcentral